Molecule: ribosomal RNA, 470 nt
Filed under: Vibrio vulnificus
Lineage: Bacteria; Pseudomonadati; Pseudomonadota; Gammaproteobacteria; Vibrionales; Vibrionaceae
Description: bacterial SSU rRNA
Rfam family: Bacterial small subunit ribosomal RNA
Source: RNAcentral
UAAACCAAUGAUGGGCGCAGCUUGAUGCAGCAUGCGCGUGUGUGAGAAGGCCUUCGGUUGUAAAGCACUUUCAGUCGUGAGGAAGGUGGUAGUGUUAAUAGCACUAUCAUUUGACGUUAGCGACAGAAGAAGCACCGGCUAACUCCGUGCCAGCAGCCGCGGUAAUACGGAGGGUGCGAGCGUUAAUCGGAAUUACUGGGCGUAAAGCGCAUGCAGGUGGUUUGUUAAGUCAGAUGUGAAAGCCCGGGGCUCAACCUCGGAACUGCAUUUGAAACUGGCAGACUAGAGUACUGUAGAGGGGGGUAGAAUUUCAGGUGUAGCGGUGAAAUGCGUAGAGAUCUGAAGGAAUACCGGUGGCGAAGGCGGCCCCCUGGACAGAUACUGACACUCAGAUGCGAAAGCUUGGGGAGCAAACAGGAUUAGAUACCCUGGUAGUCAAAAGGGGGGGGGGAAAGGAGGAUUAUAUGUUU